Molecule: ribosomal RNA, 253 nt
Filed under: uncultured Rhodospirillales bacterium
Lineage: Bacteria; Pseudomonadati; Pseudomonadota; Alphaproteobacteria; Rhodospirillales
Description: partial 16S ribosomal RNA
Rfam family: Bacterial small subunit ribosomal RNA
Source: RNAcentral
UACGAAGGGGGCAAGCGUUGUUCGGAAUUACUGGGCGUAAAGGGCGCGCAGGCGGCCUGUCAAGUCAGAUGUGAAAGCCCCGGGCUCAACCUGGGAAUAGCAUUUGGGACUGGCAGGCUAGAGUUCGGGAGAGGAGAGUGGAAUUCCCAGUGUAGAGGUGAAAUUCGUAGAUAUUGGGAAGAACACCGGUGGCGAAGGCGGCUCUCUGGACCGAUACUGACGCUGAGGCGCGAAAGCGUGGGGAGCAAACAGG